This 71-nucleotide transfer RNA is filed under the name Kordiimonadaceae bacterium. Its description in RNAcentral is "tRNA-OTHER". The record is from RNAcentral. Lineage: Bacteria; Pseudomonadati; Pseudomonadota; Alphaproteobacteria; Kordiimonadales; Kordiimonadaceae.
GCACCUGAAAACCUUAGAAGAUAACCCUCCGAAGGCGGAGGUCACGCGUUCGAAUCGCGUCGGGUGCACCA